This 764-nucleotide ribosomal RNA is filed under the name uncultured Methanomicrobiaceae archaeon. RNAcentral's name for it is "SSU rRNA". It matches the Rfam family "Archaeal small subunit ribosomal RNA", at positions 114 to 882 of the family's 1478-position model. The record is from RNAcentral. Lineage: Archaea; Methanobacteriati; Methanobacteriota; Methanomicrobia; Methanomicrobiales; Methanomicrobiaceae.
CUGCGGAGGGGGAUAACCCCGGAAAAACUGGGAAUAAUACCCCAUAGAUCAGGGAUGCUGGAAUGCCCCUUGGUUCAAAGGUCCGCCGCCACAGGAUGGGUCUGCGGCCGAUUAGGUUGUUGUUGGGGUAACGGCCCACCAAGCCAUUGAUCGGUACGGGUUGUGGGAGCAAGAGCCCGGAGAUGGAUUCUGAGACACGAAUCCAGGCUCUACGGGGCGCAGCAGGCGCGAAAACUUUACAAUGCGGGAAACCGUGAUAAGGGAACCCCGAGUGCCCGUAAAUUCGGGCUGUCCGUCAGUGUAAAUAACUGGCGAAGAAAGGGCCGGGCAAGACCGGUGCCAGCCGCCGCGGUAAUACCGGCGUCUCGAGUGGUGGCCGCUAUUACUGGGCUUAAAGCGUCCGUAGCUGGGUUGUUAAGUCUCCUGGGAAAUCCACCGGCUCAACCGAUGGGCGUUCAGGAGAUACUGGCAACCUAGGGACCGGGAGAGGUGAGAGGUACUCCAGGGGUAGGAGUGAAAUCCUGUAAUCCUUGGGGGACCACCUGUGGCGAAGGCGUCUCACCAGAACGGCUCCGACAGUGAGGGACGAAAGCUGGGGGAGCAAACCGGAUUAGAUACCCGGGUAGUCCCAGCUGUAAACGAUGCGCGUUAGGUGUAUCGGUGACCACGAGUCACCGAGGUGCCGAAGAGAAAUCGUGAAACGUGCCGCCUGGGAAGUACGGUCGCAAGGCUGAAACUUAAAGGAAUUGGCGGGGGAGCACAAG